Molecule: microRNA precursor, 112 nt
Organism: Chlorocebus sabaeus (green monkey)
Lineage: Eukaryota; Metazoa; Chordata; Mammalia; Primates; Cercopithecidae
Source: Ensembl
GCACUUGGCCCAGAGUUCACACUCAGGGCUCAUUGCUGUCAUUGUUUCUGUCCUCGUUCCUGUUGUUAUUACUGGACUUGGAAUCAGAAGCAGGUUCGAAUCCCAACUCUAC